RNAcentral lists this ribosomal RNA (460 nucleotides) under uncultured bacterium. RNAcentral's name for it is "partial 16S ribosomal RNA". It matches the Rfam family "Bacterial small subunit ribosomal RNA", at positions 338 to 795 of the family's 1533-position model. The record is from RNAcentral.
CCUACGGGGAGCGGCAGUGAGGAAUAUUGGUCAAUGGGCGCAAGCCUGAACCAGCCAAGUCGCGUGAGGGAUGACGGUCCUAUGGAUUGUAAACCUCUUUUGUCGGGGAGCAAGGCCCGCCACGUGUGGCGGGAAGGAGAGUACCCGAAGAAAAAGCAUCGGCUAACUCCGUGCCAGCAGCCGCGGUAAUACGGAGGAUGCGAGCGUUAUCCGGAUUUAUUGGGUUUAAAGGGUGCGUAGGCGGAAGGUUAAGUCAGCGGUCAAAUGUCGGUGCUCAACACCGGCCUGCCGUUGAAACUGGUCGUCUUGAGUGAGCGAGAAGUAUGCGGAAUGCGUGGUGUAGCGGUGAAAUGCAUAGAUAUCACGCAGAACUCCGAUUGCGAAGGCAGCAUACCGGCGCUCAACUGACGCUGAGGCACGAAAGCGUGGGGAUCGAACAGGAUUAGAUACCCCUGUAGUC